UUAUGACAUAGUUGAUACUUUGGUCCCAGGGGAAAUAAAACACAUUUUGGCUUCAUGCUCCAAAAGGAUUACAGACAAAAGUCUUGGAUCCCAUAAAGCUCCUUCGUAUUGGAUCAACAAACGAUGGGUCCUGGAGAGCAAGUUCCCAGAAUGAAUAGAAAGAAUCUGUACAGCAAGCAUCCUUUGGAACGUUUUUGCGCCAGUGAAAAUGGUUCCGCUUUUGUGGGGCUUUGUGCCAUCAAGACAGCAAAUAUGCCAAUCCACUCAGCUUGGCUCAGCACCUGCCACAAGCGAGGAGGAAACUGCGUCAACUGUGUGACGACUUAAUUUGUUUUGAGCUGAUAAUAGCCAUGAGAGAUGCCAACAAGUGAUGGCAAUUUCCAUGUCCUUGUGACUCACAGAGAUUCACCUAGAAAGCCACGUGGAUGUCUUCUGGAGGAUAAUGCCCCAUUGCACAGUUCACGGGGAUAUGGGGUACAGAGACCUCACUGCGGUUGACCUUCAAAUCUGUGAAGCACAGUAGCACUGGAGCACAGAUGCAGGACACGAUAUCUCUUUCUACAUAGUACAGUAAAACCUUGGAUUGUGAGUAACCUGUUCUGUGAGUGUUCCUCAAGACGAGUAAACAUUUCUAAUAAAUUUUGACUUGAUAAACGA
Molecule: long non-coding RNA, 657 nt
Organism: Herpailurus yagouaroundi (jaguarundi)
Lineage: Eukaryota; Metazoa; Chordata; Mammalia; Carnivora; Felidae
Exons: 2
Source: RefSeq, a predicted model, not a curated record